This 72-nucleotide transfer RNA is filed under the name Capra hircus (goat). It matches the Rfam family "tRNA". Rfam says of the family: Transfer RNA (tRNA) molecules are approximately 80 nucleotides in length. Their secondary structure includes four short double-helical elements and three loops (D, anti-codon, and T loops). Further hydrogen bonds mediate the characteristic L-shaped molecular structure. tRNAs have two regions of fundamental functional importance: the anti-codon, which is responsible for specific mRNA codon recognition, and the 3' end, to which the tRNAs corresponding amino acid is attached (by aminoacyl-tRNA synthetases). tRNAs cope with the degeneracy of the genetic code in two manners: having more than one tRNA (with a specific anti-codon) for a particular amino acid; and 'wobble' base-pairing, i.e. permitting non-standard base-pairing at the 3rd anti-codon position. The record is from Rfam by way of RNAcentral. RNAcentral also lists the same sequence under 1 other name. Lineage: Eukaryota; Metazoa; Chordata; Mammalia; Artiodactyla; Bovidae.
UCCCUGGUGGCUCAGAUGGUAAAGAAUCCACCUGCAAUGCGGGAGACCCAGGUUCAGUCCCUGGAUAGGGAA